Molecule: transfer RNA, 84 nt
Filed under: Tieghemiomyces parasiticus
Lineage: Eukaryota; Fungi; Kickxellomycota; Dimargaritomycetes; Dimargaritales; Dimargaritaceae
Rfam family: tRNA
About the family: Transfer RNA (tRNA) molecules are approximately 80 nucleotides in length. Their secondary structure includes four short double-helical elements and three loops (D, anti-codon, and T loops).
Source: Rfam by way of RNAcentral
CCGAGAAUAGCUCAGCUGGUAGAGCGGGAGACUGUAGUUUAACACGAUAUCUCUAGGUCCCUGGUUCAAUUCCGGGUUCUCGGA